RNAcentral lists this unclassified non-coding RNA (348 nucleotides) under soil metagenome. RNAcentral describes it as "partial contains 5.8S ribosomal RNA, internal transcribed spacer 2, and large subunit ribosomal RNA". The stretch from base 1 to 120 matches the Rfam family "5.8S ribosomal RNA", at positions 35 to 154 of the family's 154-position model. The record is from RNAcentral.
GAUGAAGAACGCAGCGAAAUGCGAUAAGUAAUGUGAAUUGCAGAAUUCAGUGAAUCAUCGAAUCUUUGAACGCACAUUGCGCCCGCCAGUAUUCUGGCGGGCAUGCCUGUCUGAGCGUCAUUUCAACCCUCAUGCCCCUAGGGCGUGGUGUUGGGGAUCGGCCAAAGCCCGCGAGGGACGGCCGGCCCCUAAAUCUAGUGGCGGACCCGUCGUGGCCUCCUCUGCGAAGUGGUGAUAUUCCGCAUCGGAGAGCGACGAGCCCCUGCCGUUAAACCCCCAACUUUCCAAGGUUGACCUCAGAUCAGGUAGGAAUACCCGCUGAACUUAAGCAUAUCAAUAAGCGGAGGA